This 406-nucleotide ribosomal RNA is filed under the name uncultured bacterium. Its description in RNAcentral is "partial 16S ribosomal RNA". It matches the Rfam family "Bacterial small subunit ribosomal RNA", at positions 30 to 526 of the family's 1533-position model. The record is from RNAcentral.
AUUGAACGCUGGCGGCAGGCCUAACACAUGCAAGUCGAACGAGUGGCGGACGGGUGAGUAAUGUCUGGGAAACUGCCUGAUGGAGGGGGAUAACUACUGGAAACGGUAGCUAAUACCGCAUACCAUCGGAUGUGCCCCGUUGGGAUUAGCUAGUUGGUGGGGUAACGGCUCACCUUGCCGACGAUCCCUAGCUGGUCUGAGAGGAUGACCAGCCACACUGGAACUGAGACACGGUCCAGACUCCUACGGGAGACAGCAGUGGGGAAUAUUGCGCAAUUGGCGCAAGCCUGACGCAGCCAUGACGCGUGUAUGAAGAAGGCCUUCGGGUUGUAAAGCGCUUGCAGCGGGGAGGCGUUACCCGCAGAAGAAGCACCGGCUAACUCCGUUCCAGCAGCCGCGGUAAUAC